CAGCCUACAGAUACCAAUCAAAAUUUCUACUAAUGUCUUACUUUUUGGCUCCGAUAGACUCACAGUAGAACAAAACAUACUGAUAUUUAAAGCUGUGCAAAACUUUAUUAUAAGUAGCAAUCGAUUCACAUCCACAAUCAAAUAAUUCUAAUUACUCACUCCUCCCCUAAAUAAAAAAUAUUGUUUCAUUCUUUAAUAACACUCAUUUUUCUAAAAACACCUUUCACC
RNAcentral lists this long non-coding RNA (228 nucleotides) under Mytilus galloprovincialis (Mediterranean mussel). Lineage: Eukaryota; Metazoa; Mollusca; Bivalvia; Mytilida; Mytilidae. The record is from RNAcentral.